UGAGGCGCGCUGCAAAGUUAGGGCAGGACGGAGGGAGGCUCCUGGAGCGGGGACCGCGGAGCGGCGAGCCCAGGGCGGGGCAGGCACAGGCCGGUGGCACAGGACUGGGUGGGACCGGGAGGACUCCGGACGCGCAGCUGGAGACGGAGCUUUUUGACAAAUGGAGCAAGAAUACAGAGAAACUAACCAAAAAAAAAAAAAGAAGAAGAAUACAGAGAAACUAGAGUGGCCCGUCAUGCUACAAGUCAGGUUUCAGAUUCCUCUGCCGAAAUAAAGGCUAUCCGGGAAUCCAGGAGGACUUCAGCCCUCCUGCUGGUACUCCAUCACCUUUCAGAGGUACCAGACACCAACAACGAGGUCCUGCAGAUUCGCUGGCAAAGCUGAGUGAGUCCUAGGACUCAUCAUCACGGGGAUACCCCAGCUUCCCCAGAAGUUUUGCUCCCCCUCCCAACCCAGGAGUUUCCCUGAUGUGUACGCACAGUGUGUGUGAUGAAUCUUGGGCUCCGUUGCCAAGCGACAUGCCUCUGUUUUGGCCUAGUAUGCUUGUUUCCAUAGCAACCACAGAGGGCGCUCUAUGGGCAGGCCCCAGGCCAGGGGAUUCCCCUUCCCCUCCCUCCUCACCACAGUCCCCUCCUCUAAAAUCCGUGUAUUACAGGGAAGAUGAGACGCGACUGCUCAGAGAGUAUUCAUGGCUUUUAAACUAUGAUCCCAGAAAGGAAGUGAAAUGUGCAAUCUGCAGUCUCUUUGAAAGUAGACUCCCCACCCCUCCCAUGAGGGCCCUCUGACAUAUCUGCCUUAGAAGCAGAGAAAUGACUCUUACCUCUUCUUUGAGCUACCUGGAAUCUCCCAGGCCCCACCCCCACCCAUACACACAUUACCCAGAGAUGAGCCUCUCCCCAAACAUCAGGCCCAUCCAUGUUCACUUUCAUUGCUUCCUAAUCUGUCUUCCCCGGUGAACAGCAAACCUCUCGGAGUGAUUCUGGAAUCCAGAUAUUAUUUCCUAAGCAACUCUGAGACCCCAGACUCUUCACUCAAACUCAGAACGUGAAGCCAAGUGUUCCAGCCCAGUUUAAAUUCCAGCCUGUAUAAAACCUUGGGCUUCAAUAAGGAGUUCCUGAAUCACUCAGAUCAGAUCAGACAAGAGCGAAUACAGGAAACCCGCCCAUUACACUCGGUCCUAAUUGAAAUCUUCAGGCCAAAGCAGAACCCAAGUUAAAACUGAUUAGAGAAUGAGAGACGACACGUGGGGCUCUGAGCACAGAUUCUGGGAGGAAACAUGGUUCAAAAGAGCAUCCAGACGAGAGAGUGGGGACAAAGCGGGCAAGGGGUAAAGGGAGACCAGCCUGGGCUUCUCUCCCUCUUCUGCUUGCAACUUCCCAAGUCCAGGCUGAGAUCAGGCUGAGCAGUAAAGGAAGGGCCUAGGCUGCCCAGAGCCUGAGUCACCACAUAGCUGAGGUUCCUGACGCUCGAAGUCCCGCCUCUGCUCGCCCUGUGCCCUCUGCUCGCCCCAGGACUUGGAGUGCUGGAGUGCCGGGCUUGACCUGCCCUGGGACCUGCUCCACUUCUGUGCCUCUUACCAGCCAGGGCUGCUAGCAGCCUUGGAUACCACCCUCUACCUCCAAAACCGAGUGUGCUUGGUCAAUCCUAGUGGCCCAGCAGUCUGAGGGAAGCGCCCCUUCCUGCUCUUAGGAACAAAAGUGACUCAGUGAGUGGCUUUGAGAACUGUGGAAAGACUAGCAUGCACCCUUGAUAAGUCACUUCCCCUCUCUGGGCUGGUUUCCUCCUGGGUAAAAUAAAGCGACUACCUAAUGUGGUCUCCCCGGCUUUCCUGCAUAAGGUACAUUCUGUCAGUCUGAGUUCAAGACAUAGAAUGUUCGCAUUGGGAGGGUGGGUUAAAGGAGUGUGUCUGCUAACCCCUGUCCUAACAGGAGUGGGUGGGGUAGGGCACAGGCUCUUCCACAAUAGGGCAGCCAACACCCUUGGCAAGUGGGUGAUUCAGGCCCCACAGAGAAUGGGACUGACAGGGCAUGCUCCCCUGUGACUCAAGGGAAAUGGAGAUCUCCCUGAAGAAUGACUGGCCAGGGUCCCGCUAUAACCAGCUGGUCUCCCCUGCACCUAGAAAGUUUCCUGUCGCAUUGCGGCCCCCACUGCCUCUGAUGGGCACCCUAAGCUCAUUGUCAUACUGCCUCCCUGGCCUACUCAGUUGCCUCCACCCCUCCUACUGGCCCUGGCAACCCCUCUUCCCUGGGCCUUCAACGACAUAGCCCUUCUUGCCCUGUCGUGUCCCCUCAUUUACCCUUUGGCUCUGCCCAUCCUCACUAUCCACCCCCAUCCCUGCGGAGCCAGCCAGAUGAUUGCAAAAGGGCUGAGCCAGCGAGAGAGGCCCUCACAUGACAGCUGUUCCUGCUGGGGAGGGGAGGGGGCCGCUGGAAGUGGAGGGAAGCACAUUCCAUGGGAGAUUCGAUCAGAAAUAGCCCCAAACCCUGACCAUCCAGCCCCUGCUCUGCACAUGGCCAGCCCAUUGUGUAAACAAGGUAGGGUCAGCAGGCUCCCUUUGGAAUCCUGAGGAAAUGAGGAAAACAGGGGGCAGGGAGUGGUUCCCUCCCAAAAGGGAGGGGGCUACAAGGAUGACAAGAGCCCAGGAACAUCUAGAGACCCAGGGUCACCAAGACAACCUUUGCCACUUAAGCAGUCCCACCUGCCCAGGGUACUCUGCCUCUUGGGAGACAUUCGAAUGAAUACAAUGCAGCACCCAGCAGCCACUUUACCACCAUUGCACCCAUCCCUUGGGUGCUGGAGCACCGGGACACCCCAGUAAUUCCACUGGAGUAAAACGACAGCCUCCUCCGGGAGCUAUGCCAGCCUGAUUAGAGCAAACAGACAGGAGCAGGUGGCUGUUUCUCUAACCUUUCAGGAGCACUGAUAUUUUAGCUCCACACCAUGAGGGGAGGUGUGGAGGAGGUGGGGACCCCAGAAUUGCACCCAAACACACAGAGGACCAAAGUCAGUUGGGGAAGUUAGCCUGUACUGUAGGCACAGCUGGUAGGGUGAGCCAGGGAAGCCACAGUCACCCAGGAAAACCCAUCUGAUGAGGAGGGAAAGUUCUGGGUCCCAAGGACAAAGAGUGCUGGUUGCCAUGAAAACCACAGUAUUGAUUUCAGAAAUGGCUGGGUGGAUCCUCCAAAACACUUCAUUCCUCUCCCUUCAACAUUCUAGACCCUUCCCCCACCUUUGAAAAGAGGAAGUGGCACAUUUGGGGCAUGUGGGCAGCUGGUGGGAUGGGCCCGACCCAGUGUGCAGAGCAGCUGUCCAACUCCAGCUCAAACAGGACAUGAAAAAAACAUGACAAUCUACGUCUUUAUUGGAAGAACUUUAAAGGCUUGAGUUUUUAAUAAGUGAUUUAAGCAGAAGCACCAACAAAGCUAUAAUAAAUAGCUGCUUAUAACCAGUAUCUACCAGUUUCUAUACAGGCUGAACCAAGUCUCAGGCGUUCCCAUUCACACGCUGGGUUUGGCAAAGAUUUCAUCUGCAGUGAUGACACCAUGGAGCUAGAGAGUAUCAUGCUGAGGGAAAUAAACCAUUCAGAGAAAGGCAAAUACCGUAUGAUUUCACUCAUAUAUGAAAUUUAAGAAACCAAAUGAACAAAGGAAAAAAAAUGAACAAAAAAAAAAUGAACAAACAAAAACAAAAAAAAGAGACCAAGAAACAGACUUUUAAUUGUGGAGAACCAAUGGUCACCAGAGGGCAAAGGAGGGGAAUGGGGGAAACAGGUAUGAUGGGGAUCAAGGAGGACACCUGUCUUCAUGAGCACCAGCUGAUGUAGGGAAGUGUGGAAUCGCUAUAUUGUCCACUGGAAACUAACAUUACCCUGUAUCUUAACUCUGCUGAAUUAAAGAGUUCAUCUGCAGUCAAACGCACCUGAAUCCAGACCCCUCUCCUCUCUCCAUC
Canis lupus familiaris (dog) is the source of this 3948-nucleotide long non-coding RNA. RefSeq lists it as uncharacterized. The record is from RefSeq and is a predicted model, not a curated record. NCBI's taxonomy places the organism in Eukaryota, Metazoa, Chordata, Mammalia, Carnivora, Canidae. The transcript has 4 exons.